AUGGACGCACCGAGGGGUACCCCGCCGGGGCGGGCACGGGCACCGCCACCCGGAUGGAUCGGCGAUUCUGGGUCCGGGCAGGGCUCCGGACCCGACGGCUCCUGGAGGUACGGCUGGGAGUGGGCUUCAGGGCCUGGAGGCGGCUGGGGUUACGGCCACAGCUCAGAGCAGAGCCCCGGCGGCACCGCGUUUGGGUUCGGCUACGGCAGCGGCGGUGGCGGAGGAGGAGGCGGAGGGGGGAGCGGACGUGGAGGCUUCGGCUUCGGCAGGCUCGGCGGCCACUCUGGCGGGUUCGGCUGGGGUGUCGGGCCCGGCGGCCAUGCUGGCGGCUGGGGCAGCGGGAGCGGCGGCUGGGGAGCAGGCGGUGGGGCCUUUGGAGGCGACCACGGCGGCUGGGACGCGCGCGCAGGGUUCCGCGGCGGGAGCCAACGGCCACCUCCCGGAGGACGCGGCGGCGGCAAUUGA
This 465-nucleotide ribosomal RNA is filed under the name Triticum aestivum (bread wheat). Its description in RNAcentral is "partial small subunit ribosomal RNA". Lineage: Eukaryota; Viridiplantae; Streptophyta; Magnoliopsida; Poales; Poaceae. The record is from RNAcentral.